This 588-nucleotide ribosomal RNA is filed under the name Triticum aestivum (bread wheat). RNAcentral describes it as "partial small subunit ribosomal RNA". Lineage: Eukaryota; Viridiplantae; Streptophyta; Magnoliopsida; Poales; Poaceae. The record is from RNAcentral.
AUGGAUGCCGAGCUCAGCGGCCGAAAGGACGUCAACACCGGCAUCGUCUACAUCUCAGACGACCAGUACGUCGACGCCGGGGAGAACCACCGGGUGGCAGCCGAGCACGACACCAGCGCCACUGUCGAGCAUUAUCGUACGCUCAGGAGCUUCCCGUCCGGCGUAUGGAACUGCUACUCGCUCCCGACGGAGAUCGGCACCAAGUACAUGCUCCGGCUGGAGUUCUUCUACGGGAACUACGACGGCAAGAACAGGUUGUCGACGCAGUUCGACCUGCACCUGGGAAGCAACUACUGGGACACGUAUGAGACCGGCACUAGGGGCUGGCCGGCCGAGGCGGUCUUCGUCGCCUGGGCGAGCUGGGUGCCGGUGUGUCUUGUGAACAACGGCGGUGGCACCCCAUUCGUGAACUCCGUGGAGCUGAGGGGGCUCGGGGCCUCGCUAUAUCCCAACGCCACCACCAGCCAGUCGAUGGCCCUGUAUUCGCGGCGCAAUUUGGGGACAAACAAAUAUAUGCGGUAUGCUCCGCUUCCAUCUUUCUUUUCUUAUUCAGUGUUGCUAAAUCUCAGUCGACAAAUGCUAUACUGA